RNAcentral lists this transfer RNA (73 nucleotides) under Bos grunniens (domestic yak). It matches the Rfam family "tRNA". Rfam says of the family: Transfer RNA (tRNA) molecules are approximately 80 nucleotides in length. Their secondary structure includes four short double-helical elements and three loops (D, anti-codon, and T loops). Lineage: Eukaryota; Metazoa; Chordata; Mammalia; Artiodactyla; Bovidae. The record is from Rfam by way of RNAcentral. RNAcentral also lists the same sequence under 2 other names.
UCCCUGGUGGUCCAGUGGCUAAGACUCCUUGCUUCCAAUGCAGGGGGCCCGGGUUUGAUCCUUGGUCAGGGAA